GGAGCUCUUGGUGGUAGUAGCAAAUACGUCAAUGAGAACAUGAAGAACAACGUGAUGA
Molecule: ribosomal RNA, 58 nt
Filed under: Scrippsiella hangoei
Lineage: Eukaryota; Dinophyceae; Peridiniales; Peridiniaceae
Description: partial Eukaryotic large subunit ribosomal RNA
Source: RNAcentral